RNAcentral lists this long non-coding RNA (265 nucleotides) under Hordeum vulgare. RNAcentral describes it as "long non-coding RNA (HVUL_LNC001784)". Lineage: Eukaryota; Viridiplantae; Streptophyta; Magnoliopsida; Poales; Poaceae. The record is from RNAcentral.
UGAUGCCUACUUGGGACAUUCAAAUCAACACAACAUAAAAAUUUCUGAACCUAUGUCUCAUAGAAGAGUGGAAUGAACUCCAUUGUUAGCAGAUGUGUCAUUGUUUUAUUGUGUAAUUCUGUCUGUUCUUGCUAUAUUUCUGUGUAAGGAAAUGUAUUCAUGAGAUGAGUUAUUGUGUUAUGUAAACUUGGGAGAUGUAUUAUGUGAUGUUAUAUGAUGGAUGAUUUUAAUUUGACUUGGAGUUUUCUUGAUUUGAAUAUGAAAU